UCUCUUUCUCUCUUCAUCGCCAUUCAUCAUCAUCAUCAAAUCUCAGGAUCUUGGAGGUGGCUCUUCUCUUUCGUAACUACCUUCUAGACUAUGAUUUCCAAUCUUCGAUCUCUCGUAGAGGAUUGCAAGAGCUGCCGAGUCCACGAGUUCUUCUCCAUCAGUAGCUUCCGGUGAUAAAACCCUAAUCCAUGAUGAUGAAUUCACUCUAACCAAGGUCCAGUCCGGUUCAAAGACAUCACGUAACAGUUAGCACUCUUCGAUCAGUUUCUUUUUUGUUGAUUUGGAUUCAAAUUCGAACUCUUGAGCUCUCGGUAUUGCAGAGAACGAUAUGGUGCUUUUUGCGACUUCACUUUCCUAGUAUUCUGAGUUUCAAUGUCUUCGGAGGCGUCUUCAAUCAACAACAAAAGCACCAGGUGAUUUUUUCAUUACAUUUUACAAAAUUAUGAGCUACUCGUUUUCAAUCUAAGAUUAACGUUGGAGGACUAUCCAGCAAAUGGAUCAAUUAAUCAUGUAAUUAUUCUAUCUUAGUAACAUAGAACUUUUACUCUU
Arabidopsis lyrata subsp. lyrata is the source of this 549-nucleotide long non-coding RNA. RefSeq lists it as uncharacterized. NCBI's taxonomy places the organism in Eukaryota, Viridiplantae, Streptophyta, Magnoliopsida, Brassicales, Brassicaceae. The transcript has 4 exons. The record is from RefSeq and is a predicted model, not a curated record.